RNAcentral lists this unclassified non-coding RNA (361 nucleotides) under Hevea brasiliensis (rubber tree). The record is from RNAcentral. Lineage: Eukaryota; Viridiplantae; Streptophyta; Magnoliopsida; Malpighiales; Euphorbiaceae.
UAACAAUUAAAGGGCCAUGCAAGUCGCAAUUAAUUCAGCAGUAUUUGAGUCUGAGAUACAAAUGGAGCAUGAGAAAAUAACCUGCUGAAUUGCGUCAGACUCCACAUUAUGGCACUUGCUUCGAGUUUCCAAAUGGAGGAGCCAUCAACGUUCCACUUAAAGAAAUUAGGAGAGGCAAACAGCUUAUGGGAGAAUGAUGACAAAAGGUAUUGGACCAUACUCUGAUGACUUCAGAAGAGAUAGACGAAUAUGUAGAUUCAGGACUUUAUCCCUCUGAUUCAUCAAAUAAAAUGAAUAGGAGAAUCUGGAACAAAGGCUUUCAUCAAGUAGAGAUGCGAAAUAAGAUCAAAGAGCAAAGAGA